UUUUCUACAUUAGUUUGUCUUUUAAAACUUUGGUUUUGGAUUUAGUUAACACUUCACUUCGCUAUUGUUAAAGUAGGUUUGAGUGACUUGUCUGUAACUAUUGAAUGUGCAGACUUGUAGCUGUUUUCUUGUUACCUUGAUUGUUUUGGGCAUGCAGUGAGACCACUUUUAGAACGAUGGAGCAGCUGAUACAAGCCUAUGGGAUGAGUGAGGACAUGACUACACAACAAGAAUGUUUAAACACUCAAGAUCAACCAGAGAUGGAGCAGCUGUUGGAAGACAAAGUACAAAAGGUACAAGCCUACGAGAUGAGUGAGGACAUGACGAUACAACAAGAAUGUUUUAACACUCAAGAUCAACCAGAGAUGGAGCAGCUGUUGGAAGACAAAGUACAAAAGGUACAAGCCUAUGGGAUGAGUGAGGACAUGACUACACAACAAGAAUGUUUAAACACUCAAGAUCAACCAGAGAUGGAGCAGCUGUUGGAAGACAAAGUACAAAAGGUACAAGCCUACAAGAUGAGUGAGGACAUGACUACACAACAAGAAUGUUUAAACACUCAAGAUCAACCAGAGAUGGAGCAGCUGUUGGAAGACAAAGUACAAAAUGUGCAAUCCUACGAGAUGAGUGAGGACAUGACUACACAACAAGAAUGUUUAAACACUCAAGAUCAACCAGAGGCGAGUGAACAUGCUGAGUCAGCCGUAUCAUCCUUGGUCCAUGAAGGGACGAAUAAGGAUUGUGAUGGGGAAAUUUCUGAAGAUACAGAUAGUGACACCUCAUCCUCAUCCUCCUCCUCCUCCUCACUUUUUUCACAUGCCACCAUGAUUGAAAUUGAUGACGAUGAGGGUUUAAACCGAACAGCUAUCUUCAAAACCAAAGAUGAACUUUUACUAGAGGAUCUUCCUGCGGUGGAGGAGCUGAAUGUGUCAUUACCAGAUGCUGUUGCGCUAACACCAGUAGGAACAGUAUCCAGCAUUAUACAGAAGCUUGUAAUAAUCCAGUCUCUGAAAGACACAACCCCUUUGACCGAUGACAGCAUCAUCUUUCGAGCUGAUCGACUAGCUUUGGGCAAGGUUUUUGAAAUUUUCGGUCCUGUAUCCAGUCCCCUCUAUGUUUUGCGUUUUAACUCGCCAGAGGAAUUGAGCAACAAGGGGCUGACACUUGGCUUGACCGUUUAUUGUGCACCAGAUAUGGGAGAGUACACAGGAUACAUUCUCAUUCAACAUCUUAAACUUUUAAAGGGCUCUGAUGCAUCCUGGAAAAAUGACCAAGAACCUCCAGAAGAGGCUUUGGACUACAGUGAUGACGAGAAGGAGCAGCAAGCUAAAAAAGCGAAAAACUCCAGAAAGAAGCAGAAAAACUACAAAGAAAACCAUGCUCAGGGCACUGCACGCCAUGAGCAGCAUCGCCAAGGUGUCACAGGUGCAACACAAACACAUACUGGGGCUCAGUUCAGCCACCAGAACUUGAACAAUAUCCAACCAGCCUUUCCGCAUUCUCAUCCACCGCCUCAGCACACACAUUUUCCUCCUAUGUACCCCACAUCUCCCUACCUUUACCCACCCCUUCCUCCACCUCCAAUUGCUUUUCCUCUUUACCCACCGCCUCCAUCGUUUUUCACUCCAUCAUACUCCUCCGCACCCUGGCUACAUAAUGUCCCUUUCUCACAAAUUCCUCCGCCGGCCCCUCCUCCUGAGUGAAACUUAGCAUACUGUUGGGAGUUUCAUAUACUCUAUAUGUAUACUGUCACCUGGAGUUAUUACAAAACCCAGUACAAAAAUGUUUAAAUUAAAAAUAUUUUCAAAAUGUAAAUUUUUAGAGGAUGGACUUUUUUCUAAUACAAUGACUAUUUGUAAUAUUAAAUGUGUAGAGAUGCUGUAAGUUUAGGAAACUUUGCAAAGGUAAUUUACAAAGAGUAGAGUCAUUUUUGGAACAGGGAUGUUCCGAUCGAUCGUCCGCCAAUCAGUAUUGUAUUUAUUUUUAGUCUCCCAGCUGACAAGCGACUAGAAGCUACUUACAGUAUGUCUCCAUAAACCUCGUGGAGCCGCUCCUUCAAGUUAAUAAUAAUCACUGCAAAUAAACUGCAUAUUUUAGUAUCUUAGGUACCAUUAUCACUGGAGGACAAGGCUGAACAUGUUGCACACCGGGAGAUGGCAUGCUAAUAGACAAGCUAACUGCUAAGCUAGCCUCAAACAACACCAAGAAAAAAAGUAUUUAGUAAAGUAUAAGAAGUGUAGCUAGAACCACAUUACAGCAGAAAGUAAAUAGGAAAUUAAUACGAGUCUAGAGAGAGGAUAAUAUAACAACUGUUGGUUGUCACAGUCAGUAAGAGGAGGGCGGAUCAAUCCAUAAAUUGAUGGUGUCGAUACCAAGGGUAGUGUCAGUAUGUUAUCCCUACUAGAGGUAUUAGGUCGAUAUUUUUAUUUCCUCAAAAUAUUUUUUGGGAUUGUUUUUGUUAUUAUUGUCAGCUCAGGCAAUACUUCCCUAAACACAGCAGGACUUUGAGGGCAAAAACCAAAAGAUUUAAACAAGUAGUAAAUUAGUGGUUUUUGAUUUUGUCUAGCUGUUGUUUGCAAUUGACUUUAAUUUGCUCAAACAAUUGUAUGUAAUAAAAACAAAAUUAGGAACUAGUUGAAAUAUUGUGUUGAUAUUGUUAAACUUUCAACAGUACAGACCAUAAAUAAACUGACAUAUUUGUAGUUAACAAAUCAGCUGAUCUCACUCAUGGAUGAUCAACCCUGAUCGGAACAUCCCUAACUUCGAAUGCAAUUUUGUGUGUGUGUAUUUACAAUACAAAUUGGGUGCAAAUGUAUUUUGUUUUCAAAAGAUAAAACAUGUUUUCAUGCGAUUCAAAAACAGUUGUACUGUAUCUAUUACCAAUCAUUAAAAAUAUCUAUACACUGUACUGUAUCUGCGUAGAGACUUAUCCCCUAAUAAUAGAUUUCAGAUUGUAUUGUUGCUGUUCUAGCUAACAAAACGAUAAUGAUGUAAAAAAUAAACAUUAAAUAUGAUUUUAAAUUAAUUUAUGUUUGAUUAAAGGAACUUUGAUCCCCUACCAGCCUGCAAGCAUUCUGAUCCUAACACACCGGUUGUGUGUCCAUAAAACACACUAAUUAUUCUCUUUAAGGAAAAUUCUCAUUAUCUCAAUACAUUAUGUGGAUAAAAGACACUUGUUACAGAAAAAAUAUCUUACAUUUAAACCUCUCCUCCACGACGGGCCAAACCAAAGAGCUGUUAAAUCGCCUCAAGAUUGACAAAGAUCAUUUGUGACUUUAUUUCAUCAAUUAGUUUUAAAGACUAAAAUUGAGUGCACAUGUUUGAAAUUAUUUUGCAUUUUCCACAAUCAAAAUUUCGUAAAAAUUAGACUGUGUUCAGAUAGAGGGCAGCACGGUGGCACAGGAGUUAGUGCAUGUGCCUCACAAUACGAUGGUCCUGAGUAGUCAUGGGUUCGAUCCUGCACUCGGGAUAUUUUCUGUGUGGAGUUUGCAUGUCCUCCCUGUGACUGCGUGUCCAGGGUGUACUCCACAUUCCGCCCGAAUGAAGCUGAGAUAGGCUCCAGCACCCCGACCCCCCGACCCCAAAAGGUACAAGCGGUAGAAAAUGGAUGGAUGUUCAGAUAGUGGCACCUGGCGAUACAAGUGCUCCAGCUUACGAGUUUAUCGGCAUUCAAGUGUACCUGUGGCCAGAUGAGAGGAGCAGGGAGUCACUGUGCAGGGGUGAGACCAGUGACGUGGUGUCAGGGGAGGCAAGUGAGGCGGUGCCUCACCUUGCCACCAGGGGGGUAAAAGGCUUAACCAUGAGAUGUUCAAAAACGAAGUACCGUAAUAAAAUAAAAUGAGUUUUAAUAUUUCUCUUUUGGUUUAUGCUUUCUAUGUGAUUUUGGUGUGGUUCCUGUAUAUUUUGUUAAUUUCCAUGGUCAAAAUUGCGGAAAUUCCGUGUUUCCUGAUGAAAAUAACAAGGCAGACGAGAAGUGAGGCAGACACAGGUGGUGCCUCCACGGCUACACACAAAGUGUACUGAGCAUGUGCAUUCGAGGGGGCGCGUGCUUGUUGCCACGGGGAAAAGGCAGGCUAUGAGGCAGCAAGUACCUCUGCCUCAAAGUAGGGGGCGAUAUAUUGUCAACUUGCACUUCAAAAGUUCAUGAACUGCCAACACCUGUUAACCCUUAAGAAGUAGAAGAAGAAAACAACUGCUACGCUUCCCGCAAACUGUGACGCUUUUUCACCCUAAAAAUGGAGGAUUUGAUUUCUAAAAUAAAACAUUUUUCAAGACGGGACUUUCAAUCACAGCAAGAAUUCAUUAAUACUGGGAGACCAACGCCAGAGCUGCCAGAUUUGAUUCAAACGUGUGGUCCGAGGACAUAAAAUAACUUGUUCAUUUCAAAAGGAUUGGAAUACUGGAAAAGUAUGACUUUGUGGCUGUGCUACAAAAAACAUCUUUAUUGCUUUCCCUGCCUUUUAUUCUCAACGAGUGACCGUGUUUGGACCCAAAUGGGAUAUACUGAGGUGGCGACUUGUCCAGGGUGUACCCUGUCUUCCACCCGAAUGCAGCUGAGAUAGGCUCCAGCACCCCCCUGCCACGAAGCCUCGAAAAGCAUGAAAGCUCAUCUGCCCGCAUUCAAGGAGCUUGCACUUCGUGGCAAUUAUCUCAAAUGAGAAAGAGAGACGUUUAAAACUCAAAUAAAAAGAGGACUUCUACAACAGAGUCAUAGAGAUCUUCGUCCAGAAGGAAAGGCGAAUGGACUUCAUUUACAAGUAAAGCAUAGGGACGGCGUGGCGCAGUGGAAGAAUGGCCGUGCGCGACCCGAGGGUCCCUGGUUCAAUCCCCACCUAGUACCAACCUCGUCAUGUCCGUUGUGUCCUGAGCAAGACACUUCACCCUUGCUCCUGAUGGGUGCUGGUUAGCGCCUUGCAUUGCAGCUCCCUCCAUCAGUGUGUGAAUGGGUAAAUGUGGAAGUAGUGUCAAAGCGCUUUGAGUACCUUGAAGGUAGAAAAGCGCUAUACAAGUACAACCCAUUUAUCAUUUAUCAUUUAUCAUGCUGUGUGUUUCUGUGAUUUUAAGCCAUUGCAUCAUACUGUAUGUUUGUAAAUCUGACGAGUGGGUCAGUGCCUCCCCAACCUCAAACCUCACUGCAAGUCACUGGUGAGACCUGUCCCUUAAGAUGGAACUAGUGAGCCGCUUCAGCUGUUUUAUAUAAAGGGCUUCUGGGUUAGGCUGAUUCUCACCGGUAGUCUUGUUUGUCCAUUUGACAACAUGGCUCAAUGAGUUCCUCCUCUUUAAAGACAGGUUGCCAAACCAUGCCACCAUACUAGGGUUGUCCUGACACCAAUAUU
RNA transcript from Nerophis lumbriciformis (worm pipefish), 5336 nucleotides. It is a transcript of the gene named nuclear assembly factor 1 homolog (S. cerevisiae), with no coding region annotated. The record is from RefSeq and is a predicted model, not a curated record. NCBI's taxonomy places the organism in Eukaryota, Metazoa, Chordata, Actinopteri, Syngnathiformes, Syngnathidae.